GGCAUUGGGCCAUACUGACGCUUAGGCUUGAAAGUGUGGGGAGCAAAUAGGAUUAGAUACCCUAGUAGUCCACACUGUAAACGAUGGAUGUUAAGUGUCGGAGCGAAUACUUCGGUGCUGCAGUUAACACAUUAAACAUCCUGCCUGAGUAGUACAUUCGCAAGAAUGAAACUCAAACGGAAUUGACGGGGACCCGCACAAGUGGUGGAGCAUGUUGCUUAAUUCGACGGUACACGAAAAACCUUACCUAGACUUGACAUCUUGGGCGAAGCUAUAGAAAUAUAGUGGAGGUCAACCCAAUGACAGGUGGUGCAUGGUUGUCGUCAGCUCGUGUCGUGAGAUGUUGGGUUAAGUCCCGCAACGAGCGCAACCCUUAUCGUUAGUUACUUUGUCUAACGAGACUGCCAACGUAAGUUGGAGGAAGGUGGGGAUGACGUCAAAUCAUCAUGCCCCUUAUGUCUAGGGCUGCAAACGUGCUACAAUGGCCAAUACAAACAGUUGCCAAUCCGUAAGAG
Molecule: ribosomal RNA, 515 nt
Filed under: Mycoplasmoides gallisepticum
Lineage: Bacteria; Bacillati; Mycoplasmatota; Mycoplasmoidales; Mycoplasmoidaceae
Description: bacterial SSU rRNA
Rfam family: Bacterial small subunit ribosomal RNA
Source: RNAcentral